RNAcentral lists this ribosomal RNA (254 nucleotides) under uncultured bacterium. RNAcentral's name for it is "partial 16S ribosomal RNA". It matches the Rfam family "Bacterial small subunit ribosomal RNA", at positions 524 to 776 of the family's 1533-position model. The record is from RNAcentral.
UACGUAGGGUGCGAGCGUUGUCCGGAAUUAUUGGGCGUAAAGAGCUCGUAGGCGGCUUGUCGCGUCGGAUGUGAAAGCCCGGGGCUUAACUCCGGGUCUGCAUUCGAUACGGGCAGGCUAGAGUUCGGUAGGGGGAGAUCGGAAUUCCUGGUGUAGCGGUGAAAUGCGCAGAUAUCAGGAGGAACACCGAUGGCGAAGGCAGGUCUCUGGGCCACUACUGACGCUGAGAAGCGAAAGCAUGGGGAGCAAACAGG